CUGAAGUUUCUGAGGAUGUUUGAGGUCUGGUUUGCCACUCAAAAUAUCCUCUUGUCCCCUCAAAAUAGGAUUAUCUUUUUGUUUGUUUGUUUGUUUUCUUGUGGGUACAGAGGGCAAAGGGGAGAUGGGGUGAGGAGAACUCCCAGGAGAUCAAGAUAAUUUUUCCCCUUUGGGAUGUGCAAGCACACGGCUGGGGGCUCAGAAAGGGGAGCCUGUUUCCAACUAGUGUGGGUUUACGUGGCAGGGUUUUGGUAGCAGGACUCCACGUCCCAAAGGACAUCGAGCCCCAUACGAUGCAGCCGAGUCUCUGCACAUUUGGGGAGCCUGAAGGACCCUGCCAGGAGCACGAGGGAUGGAUCUGAUGGGGAAAAGUGUGCUGGGGGAGGGAGGAUGAAACCAUCUGGGCAGCAAGGAGUUAAAUGACCAUGACUGUUCUGAGCAAUGAGCAUGGCAUUUCGUGGAAACUCAGUGGGAAGGAGGCAGAGCCAGCAGCUGUGUGCAUUUGUGUGCCCUUCAUUAACCAUUGCUUUCCCUUCAGAUAUUCAAAGCAUCAAUCAUCCAGGCGGGAAAAGACCCCCAAAAUGGAGACCCACCCAUCCCCCUACCACCGAUGUCACCCACUAAACCGCGUCCCCAAGCACCACAUCCAACUUUUCCCUUUUAUGGAAAAAAAGGGUUGGAGCAGCCGUGUGAUGCAGCCGAGUCUGCGCACAUUUGGGGAACCUGAAAGACCCUGGCAGGAUCACAAGGGAUGGAUCCAAUGGGGAAAAAUGCUCAGGGGGGGGAAAGGAAGGGAGGAUGAAACCACCUGGGUUGCAAGGGUUUAUUACUUCCAGCCGGCUGCUGUUGGGCAUGAUAAUUUUAACAGUAUGAAUAUUUAGAGAGCCUUUCUUCUUUAAGAAAAUAUUUCCAUUUGACCCUGCAGAACUAAAAAUAAAUGGGAGGCUGCUGCUAUGAGCAGCAGAAAGAUACUUGGAAGAAAACACCAACUUUCUGGCACACAUUUUCUGUCCGUUAUCUGGCUUCGAGCCCAGAUGCAGCUGUGUUUUUCUCUGUCUUGUUUCAUUUUCCCCUGAGACAGAGAGGCACCAGCAGUGCCAAAUAAUCAACAUGGCUCAAAGUCCACUCGGCUCUGUGCCAAUGCCACGUAUCGGCACAGGGUUGAAAAGCCCCAGCUGGUCCGUAGAGGGUCAAAAAGCCUUGAGUCAAAGAGCCAGGGAGCUGAAACUGCACUUCCAGAUAACUGCAUGUGCUGCCCUUCCCUUGGACCAAGUGGUGAGCUAUAGGGAUGUGAGCUGUGCGAGGUUUGGGCAAAGGAUGCCUGAGCCUAAUUCCAGGGAUUUUUUUUGAGCUAAAAACAAAAGAGGAGAUUUAACCUGUGCAGGUGCAGAGUGACCAGCUGGAGUUAUUUAUUAAACCACCGUUUACUUGCCACCAGCUAAUUAACUUCAAUGGCGGUGAGGGGAAGAGAGUGCCUGCAGAAUGUGCUGGAGGAUGCAGUUACGAGCUGGGACAUUUUCUGCAGCCUGUGGGACUGAACGAAGUUUGGAGUGAAUAGAAACAGCAAGAAAUGAGGAUGUUUUCCCAUGCGCUUUAAGAAAAUGGUGCGUCCAGGCCUAAAUAGCAUCUCGGAUAUUUUUUAGAAGAGCUGGCUGGAGAAACAAACAAACAAACAAAAAACAGGAAAAAAAGGGACUUUGAGGAUGGCAGAAACCCUUCCUGAUGCAGGUGAGGACCCGACUGCUGUGAUGAUGUCCCCACGCCAAAGAGCAACGGAGACGACUUUUAGCCUCAAGUGCCUUAAGGACAAACUGAUCCCCAUCGGGGCCACCGUGCUCGUGACAGCGUUGGUGAUCACCGUCAUUGCCCUGGCGGCCAGGAAAUGUCCAUCCUGCCCCUCUCCCAUCCUUCCCACCUGCUCAGAAAACGGCAUCGGGUUCAGGGAGAAAUGCUUCUACUUUGUGCAGAACGAGACCAACUGGAACAAGAGCCAGAGCUUCUGCCUCUCCCUAGGAGCCCAGCUGGCCACCAUCGACAGCCAGGAGGACUUGGUUAAAAGAGGGGUUUGCCGGGUGCUGGGGUGGCUUUUUGGGAAGCAGCUGUGGGGUUCCUUGGAGGAUGUAAGGUGAAGAUGGGCACAACAUUUCUUCUUUGCUUUCCAGCACUUCCUAUUGCACUACGGACGUCCCUUGCACUACUGGGUUGGUCUGCAUCGGGAGGGAUCCGACCCCUGGACAUGGUGUAACGGGUCUCUCUUCAACAACCUGUUUGUUAUCCGGGGCAAUGGCCAAUGUGCCUACAUCAACCUUGCUGGGGUCAGCAGUGACUGGUGCUCCCAGCAGAAGUAUUCAGUCUGCAGCCACCCCCUGCAGAGCCCCAGGGGAGCAUAGUUGGAGGAGAGCCCUGAGUGGCCCCCUGCAGCAUCCCCCUGCAUCCUGGAGUCGCCUCCGAAUUUACACCGUGAAGAUGACGAAGAGAAAGCUGCUAUCAUUAAACCCCCUUGUGUAGGGUUCCUGAUGGUGCUUUAUUUAAAGAAAUAAGUAUUAAUUUAUUUUAACUUCAGCUUGCAGAAGUAGAAACUCCUCGAAGCAACAGCGUGGAGCUCUGGGAUCAAAGGAUCCUUCAGCCACUCGUGUCUUUGCAGCAGUUGCAGAGAGACUUGGAAAUAUCCAAAAGGUUUGGAAAAAACAUUUGUCCAGCACUCUGAAGCUUGAGGGCUUGAUGCCCUUGUUUGCAGGAUUCAGAGGUAGGAGGAGAAAGGGAAAGCGGAGGAACGAAGCAGAGCUGGGAGAAGCCACCAGCCUCGAAGCUCUGGUGCUGCUUUUUGGCAUCCUGGUGCCGUGUCCCAUCCCGUUUGUGCCUUGUCGUGGCUCCCUCAGUUGAAGCUGUGCUUAAAUCUUGGUGGCCUCUUUCUGGCAAAUCCAAUGCAAUGGCGUGCUGCACAAGUGGGAGCAGAGCUUCCCCUUCGAUAUCGCCGCACAAGCAUUCACCCUCCUUUCCCCCGUCACCUGCAGCCUGGGGAGCACCGUAAGCAAGAUUUUAGUCAGCACAACAGAAAGCGCUUGGAUGCUGCUUCCAGCAGCAACAUUUCAUCUCUUCAGAUAGUUGUUUAGCCCCCCCAAAAAGUUUAACCAAGUCAGCCGUUCAGCUUGGAGUGUACCACCCUGUUUGCCUCCUGUUACUCCAGAGAAAGCAAUUUUCCAGCUUUUGCCCCACAAAAAAACAAACAAACAAACAAAACAAAACAAAACAAAAAUACAAAAAA
Non-coding RNA from Anas platyrhynchos (mallard), 3265 nucleotides. Lineage: Eukaryota; Metazoa; Chordata; Aves; Anseriformes; Anatidae. The record is from RefSeq and is a predicted model, not a curated record.